Molecule: small RNA, 107 nt
Filed under: Marmota monax (woodchuck)
Lineage: Eukaryota; Metazoa; Chordata; Mammalia; Rodentia; Sciuridae
Source: RNAcentral
GCCAAGUGUGGUGGCCCAUGCUUGUAAUCCCAGCAACUUGGGAGGCUGAGGCAGAAGGAUUGCAAGUUCAAGGACAGCUCAGGCAAGAUAGCAAGACCCUGUUUCAA